UACGUAGGGUGCGAGCGUUAAUCGGAAUUACUGGGCGUAAAGCGUGCGCAGGCGGUUAUGUAAGACAGUUGUGAAAUCCCCGGGCUCAACCUGGGAAUUGCAUCUGUGACUGCAUAGCUAGAGUACGGUAGAGGGGGAUGGAAUUCCGCGUGUAGCAGUGAAAUGCGUAGAUAUGCGGAGGAACACCAGUGGCGAAGGCGGCUCUCUGGUCUGUAACUGACGCUGAGGCGCGAAAGCGUGGGGAGCAAACAGG
RNAcentral lists this ribosomal RNA (253 nucleotides) under uncultured bacterium. RNAcentral's name for it is "partial 16S ribosomal RNA". It matches the Rfam family "Bacterial small subunit ribosomal RNA", at positions 524 to 776 of the family's 1533-position model. The record is from RNAcentral.